AGAAAAACUAGAAGAAAAGAAAUUGGCUGUAAAAAGAUUAUAAUCAGAGUCCAGCAGAUUAAAAUCAAAAGUGGCACGCUUACAAUUUGACGCAAAAGAAAACGAGCAAUGUGAAGGAUGUCAUGAACUGUCAGACAAGUUGAAAAAUAUUUUGGAGGAAAAUAAAAAGCUGAGAGAGGUUAAUGCUAAUUUGAUCGAUAGAAUUAAAGAACUUGAAGGUGAUUCUGUUCAGCUUUGUGAUCAAACAGGGGCUUAUUUGCCAAAGGUUAACAAGUGUGUCUGGGACAUUUUAGACUGUAAUGUGGCACAUAGUCAGGUUGCUCCUGUGAUGAAGGCAACAUUUCAGUUAUGUAACAAAACUUGCAACUCAUUGCCCUGUGAAUCCACUGUACGAAAUAUGGACAAGCAAAGACUCCUUGUUGCUCAAAAGCAACUUUGUGAUAUUCAAGACAAAAUGAACACUAGUUUACAAACAGAAUACGGAGAAAAAUAUUGUGCAUAUGUCUUGGAUGAUGAGGAGAAAAACUCGUAUCUGCUGGGUAUGCGACAUAUGUCAGACAAGUCAGCAUUGACAACUCUGGAGACCUUUCAGGAAAUACUUGAAGAUUUAAAUUAUUCCUGCACAUUGGCUGAAAAAAGUGAAAAAUCUGAGGCUCCAGGUCACAAGCUUUUAUGCAACAUUGCUUCAACAAUGUCUGAUAGGGCAGCCACGGAAGUCAAGUUUAACAUAUUGCUUGAAGAAUACAGGAAGGAAUUUUUGCCCCUCUACAAGGGGGAUGCAUUUAAUGACCUAACAGAGGCAGACAAGGCAAGUGCAUCAAAACUGCAUAACUUUUUUUGUGGUCUACAUCUCCUUGUUGGGAUGGCUGAUACAGCAUCUGCCGCAUUGUUGGCUCAUGAGCAGCUGCACUUCUCUUCAGAGGAAGAUUUGGAUGAUGAAAAUGAAAAAAAUCAUGGGGAAAGUGGAACAAUCAGAUUAGUACGAACUGUGUGCAAGGUCCUAU
This 1004-nucleotide long non-coding RNA is filed under the name Oryzias javanicus (javanese ricefish). RNAcentral's name for it is "lncRNA (ENSOJAG00000013958.1)". Lineage: Eukaryota; Metazoa; Chordata; Actinopteri; Beloniformes; Adrianichthyidae. The record is from RNAcentral.